RNAcentral lists this ribosomal RNA (1397 nucleotides) under Phocaeicola vulgatus. Its description in RNAcentral is "bacterial SSU rRNA". It matches the Rfam family "Bacterial small subunit ribosomal RNA". Lineage: Bacteria; Pseudomonadati; Bacteroidota; Bacteroidia; Bacteroidales; Bacteroidaceae. The record is from RNAcentral.
UAUUACAAUGAAGAGUUUGAUCCUGGCUCAGGAUGAACGCUAGCUACAGGCUUAACACAUGCAAGUCGAGGGGCAGCAUGGUCUUAGCUUGCUAAGGCCGAUGGCGACCGGCGCACGGGUGAGUAACACGUAUCCAACCUGCCGUCUACUCUUGGACAGCCUUCUGAAAGGAAGAUUAAUACAAGAUGGCAUCAUGAGUCCGCAUGUUCACAUGAUUAAAGGUAUUCCGGUAGACGAUGGGGAUGCGUUCCAUUAGAUAGUAGGCGGGGUAACGGCCCACCUAGUCUUCGAUGGAUAGGGGUUCUGAGAGGAAGGUCCCCCACAUUGGAACUGAGACACGGUCCAAACUCCUACGGGAGGCAGCAGUGAGGAAUAUUGGUCAAUGGGCGAGAGCCUGAACCAGCCAAGUAGCGUGAAGGAUGACUGCCCUAUGGGUUGUAAACUUCUUUUAUAAAGGAAUAAAGUCGGGUAUGGAUACCCGUUUGCAUGUACUUUAUGAAUAAGGAUCGGCUAACUCCGUGCCAGCAGCCGCGGUAAUACGGAGGAUCCGAGCGUUAUCCGGAUUUAUUGGGUUUAAAGGGAGCGUAGAUGGAUGUUUAAGUCAGUUGUGAAAGUUUGCGGCUCAACCGUAAAAUUGCAGUUGAUACUGGAUAUCUUGAGUGCAGUUGAGGCAGGCGGAAUUCGUGGUGUAGCGGUGAAAUGCUUAGAUAUCACGAAGAACUCCGAUUGCGAAGGCAGCCUGCUAAGCUGCAACUGACAUUGAGGCUCGAAAGUGUGGGUAUCAAACAGGAUUAGAUACCCUGGUAGUCCACACGGUAAACGAUGAAUACUCGCUGUUUGCGAUAUACUGCAAGCGGCCAAGCGAAAGCGUUAAGUAUUCCACCUGGGGAGUACGCCGGCAACGGUGAAACUCAAAGNGAAAGCCGUAAGCCGCAAGGCAUCUGUGAAGGUGCUGCAUGGUUGUCGUCAGCUCGUGCCGUGAGGUGUCGGCUUAAGUGCCAUAACGAGCGCAACCCUUGUUGUCAGUUACUAACAGGUUCCGCUGAGGACUCUGACAAGACUGCCAUCGUAAGAUGUGAGGAAGGUGGGGAUGACGUCAAAUCAGCACGGCCCUUACGUCCGGGGCUACACACGUGUUACAAUGGGGGGUACAGAGGGCCGCUACCACGCGAGUGGAUGCCAAUCCCCAAAACCUCUCUCAGUUCGGACUGGAGUCUGCAACCCGACUCCACGAAGCUGGAUUCGCUAGUAAUCGCGCAUCAGCCACGGCGCGGUGAAUACGUUCCCGGGCCUUGUACACACCGCCCGUCAAGCCAUGGGAGCCGGGGGUACCUGAAGUGCGUAACCGCGAGGAGCGCCCUAGGGUAAAACUGGUGACUGGGGCUAAGUCGUAACAA